Molecule: ribosomal RNA, 399 nt
Filed under: uncultured bacterium
Lineage: Bacteria
Description: bacterial SSU rRNA
Rfam family: Bacterial small subunit ribosomal RNA
Source: RNAcentral
UGGGGAAUCUUAGACAAUGGGGGAAACCCUGAUCUAGCCAUGCCGCGUGGACGAUGAAGGCCUUAGGGUUGUAAAGUCCUUUCAGCUGGGAAGAUAAUGACGGUACCAGCAGAAGAAGCCCCGGCUAACUCCGUGCCAGCAGCCGCGGUAAUACGGAGGGGGCUAGCGUUGUUCGGAAUUACUGGGCGUAAAGCGCACGUAGGCGGAUUGGAAAGUUAGAGGUGAAAUCCCAGGGCUCAACCUUGGAACUGCCUCUGAUACUGGCGGUCUUGAGUUCGAGAGAGGUGAGUGGAAUUCCGAGUGUAGAGGUGAAAUUCGUAGAUAUUCGGAGGAACACCAGUGGCGAAGGCGGCUCACUGGCUCGAUACUGACGCUGAGGUGCGAAAGUGUGGGGAGCAA